Sorex araneus (European shrew) is the source of this 513-nucleotide non-coding RNA. Lineage: Eukaryota; Metazoa; Chordata; Mammalia; Eulipotyphla; Soricidae. The record is from the annotation of a RefSeq genome assembly.
AUGGCAUGUGGGCUGAGCUGGCUUUUCCUGGUGGCUGUGUUAGGAGGGGUCCAGUGUGAGGUGCAGCUGGUGGAGUCUGGGGGAGACUUGGUGCAGCCUGGCCGGUCCGUGACACUCUCCUGUGCAGCCUCUGGAUUCAACUUGGGCAGCUCUUACAUGAACUGGGUCCGCCAGGCUCCAGGGAAGGGCCUAGAGUGGGUCUCACGCAUAAGUAGUGGUGGUACAUACUAUGCCGACUCUGUGGAGGGCCGAUUCACCAUAUCCAGAGACAACAGCAAGAACACGCUCUCUCUGCAAAUGAGCAGCCUGAGGGAGGAGGACACGGCCCUGUACUACUGUGUGAGAGACACAGUGAGAGGAAGGCCCUGUGGGCCCAGACACAAACCACCUGCAGGACGAAGCAGGCUCUUAGAUGACAGCAACCCUCCUUAUGGGUUGUGGCUGAGUCCUCCAUCCCCACUCUCGGCGGUAACGACUUUAUUACACUCUUUUCUGAUGGUAAAAUUCCAGUGA